AGUUUGAUCAUGGCUCAGAUUGAACGCUGGCGGCAGGCCUAACACAUGCAAGUCGAGCGGAAACGAGAAGUAGCUUGCUACUUCGGCGUCGAGCGGCGGACGGGUGAGUAAUGCCUGGGAAAUUGCCUUGAUGUGGGGGAUAACCAUUGGAAACGAUGGCUAAUACCGCAUAAUGCUUUUGUUUGUAAUGAACGGGAAGCCAAAGAGGGGGACCUUCGGGCCUCUCGCGUCAAGAUAUGCCCAGGUGGGAUUAGCUAGUUGGUGAGGUAAUGGCUCACCAAGGCGACGAUCCCUAGCUGGUCUGAGAGGAUGAUCAGCCACACUGGAACUGAGACACGGUCCAGACUCCUACGGGAGGCAGCAGUGGGGAAUAUUGCACAAUGGGCGCAAGCCUGAUGCAGCCAUGCCGCGUGUAUGAAGAAGGCCUUCGGGUUGUAAAGUACUUUCAGCAGUGAGGAAGGUGGAUGUGUUAAUAGCGACAUUCAUUUGACGUUAGCUGCAGAAGAAGCACCGGCUAACUCCGUGCCAGCAGCCGCGGUAAUACGGAGGGUGCGAGC
RNAcentral lists this ribosomal RNA (557 nucleotides) under Vibrio pectenicida. RNAcentral describes it as "bacterial SSU rRNA". It matches the Rfam family "Bacterial small subunit ribosomal RNA", at positions 10 to 539 of the family's 1533-position model. The record is from RNAcentral. Lineage: Bacteria; Pseudomonadati; Pseudomonadota; Gammaproteobacteria; Vibrionales; Vibrionaceae.